Bactrocera latifrons is the source of this 1368-nucleotide long non-coding RNA. RefSeq lists it as uncharacterized. Lineage: Eukaryota; Metazoa; Arthropoda; Insecta; Diptera; Tephritidae. The record is from RefSeq and is a predicted model, not a curated record. The transcript has 3 exons.
UGUUUUGAGACGUCGACUGCCAUUUGAAUUCAGAUACAUUUUUUAAAAAAAUCUUCCGAACGAAGCGCAAAAUUGUGUAUUAUGUUGAAAGGUUAAGCAAUUCAAUUAGAGAAACGCAUUGCUAUUGCUUUAUAUGCUUUGGCUCUUCUGCAGAAUACCGAACGAUUGGGAAUAUGUUCGAAAUCGGUAAAAGCACUGUCUGCGCCAUUCUAAUUGAUUUCUGUCAUGAAGUCUGUCAUUGUUUGUGGCCUUUGUAUUUGAUGAAAUUUUCAAUGAACGGGUCAGUGUCAGGAGCUAUCGGUAAUAAAUUAAAUUUUUUUCAUUGACGUUUUUACAUUGGAGCUGACGAAGAUGUUGUUGACAACUAUAAUUACAAAGGCUGGUAUUCCACAGUUCUUUUGGCUUUAGUAGAUGCAAGAUGUCGCUUUAUAUACAUCAACGUUGCUAGUCCAGGCCGUUGUAAUGACUCUUCAAUAUUUGAGAGAUCAUCUUUAAAAAGCGAGUUUGCACGAUCUACUAUAUUUAAAGAUAUGAGUAGAAAAAAACGUCAGUUAAUGUUCCAGUCGUUUUGUUGGGAGACUCUGCGUUCAAAUUUGAUGAAACCAUACCCAUUUUGGGUAAACCAACCUUUGGAUAAAAAAAAAUUCAACUAUGUACUCUCGAAAUGCCGAAGAGUGGUGGAGAAUGCUUUCGGUCAUUUAAAGGGAAGGUUUAGACGGGUUGGAAAAGGUUUGGCUAACUACAUGGCCAACAGGAAAAUUGUCAUAAAAGCGUGCUGCGUUUUGCACAAUUUUUUAAAUGAGGAAAAUGAUGAAAUUAAUGAAAAGUGGAUUGCAGCACAAUAAAUCGAAAACGAAUCUCGAAGUUGCCAGAAGACGUCUCUAGCAUUUGUGGAAAUGUCAACCCAAGAGCAGAGGAAAUAAGACUAACUUUCGUUUCGUGUUUCGCAUCGCUUGACGAUGGUCGAGCGCUACCACGCGACGUAGAAGGUCCAUUGCCUUGGCUUAGGAGCGGCGACUCUCCUUCUACAUCGACCUCCAUGUAAAUUGGUGCAAUGCUAACUGAAAAUAGAAGAAACAACUUGGUGGACCGCCUCAUAAUGUUUCCACCGACUAGGGAAGCCACCCAAUGGGCCAAUUUUAUGAUUAUCUUGCCUAAAAAAAAAAAAAUAUUUAAUGUUAUUUGUUUACCACAUAAUUUAUUACUUACCUCUAUUCAGUGGACGUAUAUUCGUGUGCAGCCCAAAAACAUUUUAGCAGACAUUUCCUCAUAUAUAUUCUAUGGUUAUUUUGUCGUGUUGAUCGCAGCUCUGGCAUUUUUAGUUGCCUUACCCCUAUUAUUUCGGCCUCGGCAGCCUCACUCCACAUU